GUCCCCUUAGUUCAGCUGGAUAGAACACGAGCCUCCUAAGCCUGAGACACAGGUUCGAAUCCUGUAGGGGACACCA
Molecule: transfer RNA, 76 nt
Filed under: Vibrio cortegadensis
Lineage: Bacteria; Pseudomonadati; Pseudomonadota; Gammaproteobacteria; Vibrionales; Vibrionaceae
Also listed under: 1 other name
Description: tRNA-Arg
Rfam family: tRNA
About the family: Transfer RNA (tRNA) molecules are approximately 80 nucleotides in length. Their secondary structure includes four short double-helical elements and three loops (D, anti-codon, and T loops).
Source: RNAcentral